CAGCAGCCGCGGUAAUACGUAGGUGGCAAGCGUUGUCCGGAUUUAUUGGGCGUAAAGCGAGCGCAGGCGGUCAAUUAAGUCUGAUGUGAAAGCCCCCGGCUCAACCGGGGAGGGUCAUUGGAAACUGGUUGACUUGGGUGCAGAAGAGGAGAGUGGAAUUCCAUGUGUAGCGGUGAAAUGCGUAGAUAUAUGGAGGAACACCAGUGGCGAAGGCGACUCUCUGGUCUGUAACUGACGCUGAGGCUCGAAAGCGAGGGUAGCGAACAGGAUUAGAUACCCCCGUAGUCCCUGUCCUUAUACA
This 301-nucleotide ribosomal RNA is filed under the name uncultured bacterium. RNAcentral's name for it is "partial 16S ribosomal RNA". It matches the Rfam family "Bacterial small subunit ribosomal RNA", at positions 509 to 809 of the family's 1533-position model. The record is from RNAcentral.